GACGAACGCUGGCGGCGCGCCUAACACAUGCAUGUCGAACGAGAGAUGAAGAGCUUGCUCUUCAAAUCGAGUGGCGAACGGGUGAGUAACGCGUGAGGAACCUGCCUCAAAGAGGGGGACAACAGUUGGAAACGACUGCUAAUACCGCAUAAGCCCACGGCUCGGCAUCGAGCAGAGGGAAAAGGAGCAAUCCGCUUUGAGAUGGCCUCGCGUCCGAUUAGCUAGUUGGUGAGGUAACGGCCCACCAAGGCGACGAUCGGUAGCCGGACUGAGAGGUUGAACGGCCACAUUGGGACUGAGACACGGCCCAGACUCCUACGGGAGGCAGCAGUGGGGAAUAUUGCACAAUGGGGGAAACCCUGAUGUAGCGACGCCGCGUGGAGGAAGAAGGUCUUCGGAUUGUAAACUCCUGUUGUUGAGGAAGAUAAUGACGGUACUCAACAAGGAAGUGACGGCUAACUACGUGCCAGCAGCCGCGGUAAAACGUAGGUCACAAGCGUUGUCCGGAAUUACUGGGUGUAAAGGGAGCGCAGGCGGGAGAACAAGUUGGAAGUGAAAUCCAUGGGCUCAACCCAUGAACUGCUUUCAAAACUGUUUUUCUUGAGUAGUGCAGAGGUAGGCGGAAUUCCCGGUGUAGCGGUGGAAUGCGUAGAUAUCGGGAGGAACACCAGUGGCGAAGGCGGCCUACUGGGCACCAACUGACGCUGAGGCUCGAAAGUGUGGGUAGCAAACAGGAUUAGAUACCCUGGUAGUCCACACCGUAAAC
Molecule: ribosomal RNA, 766 nt
Filed under: uncultured bacterium
Lineage: Bacteria
Description: bacterial SSU rRNA
Rfam family: Bacterial small subunit ribosomal RNA
Source: RNAcentral